This 73-nucleotide transfer RNA is filed under the name Dendronephthya gigantea. RNAcentral's name for it is "tRNA-Arg". It matches the Rfam family "tRNA". Rfam says of the family: Transfer RNA (tRNA) molecules are approximately 80 nucleotides in length. Their secondary structure includes four short double-helical elements and three loops (D, anti-codon, and T loops). The record is from RNAcentral. Lineage: Eukaryota; Metazoa; Cnidaria; Anthozoa; Malacalcyonacea; Nephtheidae.
GCCUUCGUGGCCUAACGGAUAAGGCGUCGGCCUCCUAAGCCGACGAUUGCGGGUUCGAAUCCCGUCGUAGGUA